UUUUUUGUAGUGUAGUGGUUAUCGUGUCCGCCUCACACGCGGAACGUCGCAGGUUCGAGCCCUGCCCGAAGCAA
Molecule: transfer RNA, 74 nt
Filed under: Stylophora pistillata
Lineage: Eukaryota; Metazoa; Cnidaria; Anthozoa; Scleractinia; Pocilloporidae
Description: tRNA-Val
Rfam family: tRNA
About the family: Transfer RNA (tRNA) molecules are approximately 80 nucleotides in length. Their secondary structure includes four short double-helical elements and three loops (D, anti-codon, and T loops).
Source: RNAcentral